This 69-nucleotide transfer RNA is filed under the name Cricetulus longicaudatus (long-tailed hamster). Its description in RNAcentral is "tRNA-Asp". The record is from RNAcentral. Lineage: Eukaryota; Metazoa; Chordata; Mammalia; Rodentia; Cricetidae. RNAcentral also lists the same sequence under 1 other name.
GAGAUAUUAGUAAAAUUCAUUACAUAACUUUGUCAAAGUUAAAUUAUAGGUUAAUCUCUAUAUAUCUUA